CCUACGGGUGGCAGCAGUGAGGAAUAUUGGACAAUGGGCGAGAGCCUGAACCAGCCAAGUCGCGUGAGGGAGUACUGCCCUAUGGGUUGUAAACCUCUUUUGCCGGGGAGCAAAAGCCGAACGUGUCCGGCUGUGAGAGUACCCGAAGAAAAAGCAUCGGCUAACUCCGUGCCAGCAGCCGCGGUAAAACGGAGGAUGCGAGCGUUAUCGGGAUUUAUAGGGGUUAAAGGGUGCGCAGGCGGAUUUUUAAGUCAGCGGUCAAAUCGUGGGGUGAAACCCGAUCCAGCCGUUGAAACUGGUGAUCUAGAGUGUUCGAGAGGUAUGCGGAAUGCGUGGUGGAGCGGUGAAAUGCGUAGAUAGCAGGCAGAACCCCGGUGGCGAAGGCAGCAUACCGGUGAACAACUGACGCUCAGGCACGAAAGCGUGGGUAGCGAACAGGAUUAGAUACCCGGGUAGUC
This 458-nucleotide ribosomal RNA is filed under the name uncultured bacterium. Its description in RNAcentral is "partial 16S ribosomal RNA". It matches the Rfam family "Bacterial small subunit ribosomal RNA", at positions 338 to 795 of the family's 1533-position model. The record is from RNAcentral.